GUCCUUGCAGUGCAACAUAUAGCGCGUUGGACUUUUAAUCGAAAGGUCGUGGGUUCGAAUCCCACCUGGGAUG
Non-coding RNA from Trichonephila inaurata madagascariensis, 73 nucleotides. NCBI's taxonomy places the organism in Eukaryota, Metazoa, Arthropoda, Arachnida, Araneae, Nephilidae. The record is from the annotation of a GenBank genome assembly.